Molecule: ribosomal RNA, 2921 nt
Filed under: Staphylococcus aureus M1475
Lineage: Bacteria; Bacillati; Bacillota; Bacilli; Caryophanales; Staphylococcaceae
Description: bacterial LSU rRNA
Rfam family: Bacterial large subunit ribosomal RNA
Source: RNAcentral
UAAAGUUAUUAAGGGCGCACGGUGGAUGCCUUGGCACUAGAAGCCGAUGAAGGACGUUACUAACGACGAUAUGCUUUGGGGAGCUGUAAGUAAGCUUUGAUCCAGAGAUUUCCGAAUGGGGAAACCCAGCAUGAGUUAUGUCAUGUUAUCGAUAUGUGAAUACAUAGCAUAUCAGAAGGCACACCCGGAGAACUGAAACAUCUUAGUACCCGGAGGAAGAGAAAGAAAAUUCGAUUCCCUUAGUAGCGGCGAGCGAAACGGGAAGAGCCCAAACCAACAAGCUUGCUUGUUGGGGUUGUAGGACACUCUAUACGGAGUUACAAAGGACGACAUUAGACGAAUCAUCUGGAAAGAUGAAUCAAAGAAGGUAAUAAUCCUGUAGUCGAAAAUGUUGUCUCUCUUGAGUGGAUCCUGAGUACGACGGAGCACGUGAAAUUCCGUCGGAAUCUGGGAGGACCAUCUCCUAAGGCUAAAUACUCUCUAGUGACCGAUAGUGAACCAGUACCGUGAGGGAAAGGUGAAAAGCACCCCGGAAGGGGAGUGAAAUAGAACCUGAAACCGUGUGCUUACAAGUAGUCAGAGCCCGUUAAUGGGUGAUGGCGUGCCUUUUGUAGAAUGAACCGGCGAGUUACGAUUUGAUGCAAGGUUAAGCAGUAAAUGUGGAGCCGUAGCGAAAGCGAGUCUGAAUAGGGCGUUUAGUAUUUGGUCGUAGACCCGAAACCAGGUGAUCUACCCUUGGUCAGGUUGAAGUUCAGGUAACACUGAAUGGAGGACCGAACCGACUUACGUUGAAAAGUGAGCGGAUGAACUGAGGGUAGCGGAGAAAUUCCAAUCGAACCUGGAGAUAGCUGGUUCUCUCCGAAAUAGCUUUAGGGCUAGCCUCAAGUGAUGAUUAUUGGAGGUAGAGCACUGUUUGGACGAGGGGCCCCUCUCGGGUUACCGAAUUCAGACAAACUCCGAAUGCCAAUUAAUUUAACUUGGGAGUCAGAACAUGGGUGAUAAGGUCCGUGUUCGAAAGGGAAACAGCCCAGACCACCAGCUAAGGUCCCAAAAUAUAUGUUAAGUGGAAAAGGAUGUGGCGUUGCCCAGACAACUAGGAUGUUGGCUUAGAAGCAGCCAUCAUUUAAAGAGUGCGUAAUAGCUCACUAGUCGAGUGACACUGCGCCGAAAAUGUACCGGGGCUAAACAUAUUACCGAAGCUGUGGAUUGUCCUUUGGACAAUGGUAGGAGAGCGUUCUAAGGGCGUUGAAGCAUGAUCGUAAGGACAUGUGGAGCGCUUAGAAGUGAGAAUGCCGGUGUGAGUAGCGAAAGACGGGUGAGAAUCCCGUCCACCGAUUGACUAAGGUUUCCAGAGGAAGGCUCGUCCGCUCUGGGUUAGUCGGGUCCUAAGCUGAGGCCGACAGGCGUAGGCGAUGGAUAACAGGUUGAUAUUCCUGUACCACCUAUAAUCGUUUUAAUCGAUGGGGGGACGCAGUAGGAUAGGCGAAGCGUGCGAUUGGAUUGCACGUCUAAGCAGUAAGGCUGAGUAUUAGGCAAAUCCGGUACUCGUUAAGGCUGAGCUGUGAUGGGGAGAAGACAUUGAGUCUUCGAGUCGUUGAUUUCACACUGCCGAGAAAAGCCUCUAGAUAGAAAAUAGGUGCCCGUACCGCAAACCGACACAGGUAGUCAAGAUGAGAAUUCUAAGGUGAGCGAGCGAACUCUCGUUAAGGAACUCGGCAAAAUGACCCCGUAACUUCGGGAGAAGGGGUGCUCUUUAGGGUUAACGCCCAGAAGAGCCGCAGUGAAUAGGCCCAAGCGACUGUUUAUCAAAAACACAGGUCUCUGCUAAACCGUAAGGUGAUGUAUAGGGGCUGACGCCUGCCCGGUGCUGGAAGGUUAAGAGGAGUGGUUAGCUUCUGCGAAGCUACGAAUCGAAGCCCCAGUAAACGGCGGCCGUAACUAUAACGGUCCUAAGGUAGCGAAAUUCCUUGUCGGGUAAGUUCCGACCCGCACGAAAGGCGUAACGAUUUGGGCACUGUCUCAACGAGAGACUCGGUGAAAUCAUAGUACCUGUGAAGAUGCAGGUUACCCGCGACAGGACGGAAAGACCCCGUGGAGCUUUACUGUAGCCUGAUAUUGAAAUUCGGCACAGCUUGUACAGGAUAGGUAGGAGCCUUUGAAACGUGAGCGCUAGCUUACGUGGAGGCGCUGGUGGGAUACUACCCUAGCUGUGUUGGCUUUCUAACCCGCACCACUUAUCGUGGUGGGAGACAGUGUCAAGCGGGCAGUUUGACUGGGGCGGUCGCCUCCUAAAAGGUAACGGAGGCGCUCAAAGGUUCCCUCAGAAUGGUUGGAAAUCAUUCAUAGAGUGUAAAGGCAUAAGGGAGCUUGACUGCGAGACCUACAAGUCGAGCAGGGUCGAAAGACGGACUUAGUGAUCCGGUGGUUCCGCAUGGAAGGGCCAUCGCUCAACGGAUAAAAGCUACCCCGGGGAUAACAGGCUUAUCUCCCCCAAGAGUUCACAUCGACGGGGAGGUUUGGCACCUCGAUGUCGGCUCAUCGCAUCCUGGGGCUGUAGUCGGUCCCAAGGGUUGGGCUGUUCGCCCAUUAAAGCGGUACGCGAGCUGGGUUCAGAACGUCGUGAGACAGUUCGGUCCCUAUCCGUCGUGGGCGUAGGAAAUUUGAGAGGAGCUGUCCUUAGUACGAGAGGACCGGGAUGGACAUACCUCUGGUGUACCAGUUGUCGUGCCAACGGCAUAGCUGGGUAGCUAUGUGUGGACGGGAUAAGUGCUGAAAGCAUCUAAGCAUGAAGCCCCCCUCAAGAUGAGAUUUCCCAACUUCGGUUAUAAGAUCCCUCAAAGAUGAUGAGGUUAAUAGGUUCGAGGUGGAAGCAUGGUGACAUGUGGAGCUGACGAAUACUAAUCGAUCGAAGACUUAAUCAA